ACGGGAGGCAGCAGUGGGGAAUAUUGGACAAUGGGCGCAAGCCUGAUCCAGCGACGCCGCGUGAGCGAUGAAGUAUUUCGGUAUGUAAAGCUCUAUCAGCAGGGAAGAAAACGACGGUACCUGACUAAGAAGCUCCGGCUAAAUACGUGCCAGCAGCCGCGGUAAUACGUAUGGAGCAAGCGUUAUCCGGAUUUACUGGGUGUAAAGGGAGCGUAGACGGCAUCACAAGUCAGAAGUGAAACUCCGGGGCUCAACCCCGGAACUGCUUUUGAAACUGUGGAGCUAGAGUGCAGGAGAGGUAAGCGGAAUUCCUAGUGUAGCGGUGAAAUGCGUAGAUAUUAGGAGGAACACCAGUGGCGAAGGCGGCUUACUGGACUGUAACUGACGUUGAGGCUCGAAAGCGUGGGGAGCAAACAGGAUUAGAUACCCUGGUA
This 434-nucleotide ribosomal RNA is filed under the name uncultured Butyrivibrio sp. RNAcentral's name for it is "partial 16S ribosomal RNA". It matches the Rfam family "Bacterial small subunit ribosomal RNA", at positions 341 to 792 of the family's 1533-position model. Lineage: Bacteria; Bacillati; Bacillota; Clostridia; Lachnospirales; Lachnospiraceae. The record is from RNAcentral.